GGCAUCUGGGUGCCCUCGCUGGAGGGGAUACCAGUGGGGGUUAGGGAGCAGUCCCCGGUGGGCACCUGGGUGAAGGGGAAAAUGCAUCAGUGGGCAGAGAGGAGCAAGCAGCACUGGGUGAAGGAGCUUUCUCAGGACACAACAGGGCCUUCCGAAGUGCCCUACGUCACGGAGCUGGAGAUGGACAGUGCCUCCCAGUCUCCCAUCCCUCUGCCCGCAUCGGAGUGGGAGGGUGCACCCCGGUCGCCCAUCUCUCUGACCCCCAUCUCCAAGAUGGAGGCUGGGGUGUCCCCACAGCUCACCAGUGUAUCUCAAGAGCCUCAAGAGCCCAAGAAGAUGUCAGAUCUGAGCCCUCUGACCACGACCGGGUUGUCCUCAGAGGCUCUCUCACCCUCGCCCUUGGAAGUGGAGAGUGUCCGUGCUUCAGCCAGGUACUUGGGGUGACAGCUAACAUGUUCUGUCAACUCCAUUCUCUGCAAGCAUGCUCAGUUCCGAGAGCCCUCAAUAGCGGGAUUCGGGGGACUCAAUCUCAGUUGCCAAAGUGUCCAAAGGAGCCCAACCUGGCCAGGCCCCCAGGGUGCUGUGCACCUCUACCGUAAGAAGCAGGGUGCUGAAAAGACCGGGCGGGGGGAUGCUCCCUCUCCAGUAGAGACCAGAGCUAUCUAUACGUUUAUAUAUUGG
Molecule: non-coding RNA, 681 nt
Organism: Callorhinus ursinus (northern fur seal)
Lineage: Eukaryota; Metazoa; Chordata; Mammalia; Carnivora; Otariidae
Source: RefSeq, a predicted model, not a curated record